UACGUAGGGUGCAAGCGUUGUCCGGAAUUAUUGGGCGUAAAGAGCUCGUAGGCGGUCUGUUGCGUCUGCUGUGAAAACUCGGGGCUUAACCCCGGGCCUGCAGUGGGUACGGGCAGACUAGAGUGCGGUAGGGGAGACUGGAAUUCCUGGUGUAGCGGUGAAAUGCGCAGAUAUCAGGAGGAACACCGGUGGCGAAGGCGGGUCUCUGGGCCGUAACUGACGCUGAGGAGCGAAAGCAUGGGGAGCGAACAGG
This 253-nucleotide ribosomal RNA is filed under the name uncultured bacterium. RNAcentral's name for it is "partial 16S ribosomal RNA". It matches the Rfam family "Bacterial small subunit ribosomal RNA", at positions 524 to 776 of the family's 1533-position model. The record is from RNAcentral.